GCCGUCGUAGCUCAGUGGUGGAGCACCCGGCUGUUAACCGGGCGGUCGCCGGUUCGAGCCCGGCCGACGGCG
Molecule: transfer RNA, 72 nt
Filed under: Euryarchaeota archaeon CG_4_9_14_3_um_filter_38_12
Lineage: Archaea; Methanobacteriati; Methanobacteriota
Description: tRNA-Asn
Rfam family: tRNA
About the family: Transfer RNA (tRNA) molecules are approximately 80 nucleotides in length.
Source: RNAcentral